RNAcentral lists this transfer RNA (88 nucleotides) under Muribaculaceae bacterium. RNAcentral describes it as "tRNA-Ser". It matches the Rfam family "tRNA". Rfam says of the family: Transfer RNA (tRNA) molecules are approximately 80 nucleotides in length. The record is from RNAcentral. RNAcentral also lists the same sequence under 1 other name. Lineage: Bacteria; Pseudomonadati; Bacteroidota; Bacteroidia; Bacteroidales; Muribaculaceae.
GGAAAGAUGGCAGAGUGGUCGAUUGCAUCGGUCUUGAAAACCGACGAGGGUCACACCUCCGGGGGUUCGAAUCCCUCUCUUUCCGCCA